This 75-nucleotide transfer RNA is filed under the name Candidatus Collierbacteria bacterium RIFCSPHIGHO2_01_FULL_50_25. RNAcentral's name for it is "tRNA-Arg". It matches the Rfam family "tRNA". From Rfam's summary of the family: Transfer RNA (tRNA) molecules are approximately 80 nucleotides in length. Their secondary structure includes four short double-helical elements and three loops (D, anti-codon, and T loops). Further hydrogen bonds mediate the characteristic L-shaped molecular structure. tRNAs have two regions of fundamental functional importance: the anti-codon, which is responsible for specific mRNA codon recognition, and the 3' end, to which the tRNAs corresponding amino acid is attached (by aminoacyl-tRNA synthetases). tRNAs cope with the degeneracy of the genetic code in two manners: having more than one tRNA (with a specific anti-codon) for a particular amino acid; and 'wobble' base-pairing, i.e. permitting non-standard base-pairing at the 3rd anti-codon position. The record is from RNAcentral. RNAcentral also lists the same sequence under 2 other names. Lineage: Bacteria; Candidatus Collieribacteriota.
GUACCCGUAGCUCAGUUGGAUUAGAGCGUCUCCCUGCGGAGGAGAAGGUCGUGCGUUCGAAUCGCACCGGGUACA